UAGUCUACGCCGUAAACGAUGGUUACUAGCUGUUUGGAAUUUAUUCUGAGUGGCUAAGCGAAAGUGAUAAGUAACCCACCUGGGGAGUACGUUCGCAAGAAUGAAACUCAAAGGAAUUGACGGGGGCCCGCACAAGCGGUGGAGCAUGUGGUUUAAUUCGAUGAUACGCGAGGAACCUUACCAGGGCUUAAAUGUAGAUUGACAGGUUUAGAGAUAGACUUUUCUUCGGACAAUUUACAAGGUGCUGCAUGGUUGUCGUCAGCUCGUGCCGUGAGGUGUCAGGUUAAGUCCUAUAACGAGCGCAACCCCUGUUGUUAGUUGCCAUCAGGUUAUGCUGGGGACUCUAGGAAGACUGCCUGCGUAAGCAGUGAGGAAGGUGGGGAUGACGUCAAAUCAUCAUGGCCCUUAGCCCAGGGCGACACACGUGCUACAAUGGUUGGUACAGAGGGUAGCGACCUAGUAAUAGUGAGCCAGCAUGACGCGGUGAAUACGUUCCCGGGCCUUGUACACACCGCCCG
This 518-nucleotide ribosomal RNA is filed under the name uncultured bacterium. RNAcentral describes it as "bacterial SSU rRNA". It matches the Rfam family "Bacterial small subunit ribosomal RNA", at positions 791 to 1396 of the family's 1533-position model. The record is from RNAcentral.